AGCCCCGAGGUGUUGAACACAUUAGAUUGCAAAUCUUAAGUAGCAGGUUUGCCCCUGCCGGGGCUU
Molecule: transfer RNA, 66 nt
Filed under: Paratilapia polleni (Pollen's cichlid)
Lineage: Eukaryota; Metazoa; Chordata; Actinopteri; Cichliformes; Cichlidae
Description: tRNA-Cys
Rfam family: tRNA
About the family: Transfer RNA (tRNA) molecules are approximately 80 nucleotides in length. Their secondary structure includes four short double-helical elements and three loops (D, anti-codon, and T loops).
Source: RNAcentral